Molecule: long non-coding RNA, 724 nt
Organism: Poecilia latipinna (sailfin molly)
Lineage: Eukaryota; Metazoa; Chordata; Actinopteri; Cyprinodontiformes; Poeciliidae
Exons: 4
Source: RefSeq, a predicted model, not a curated record
CAAUCGGAGUAGACAGUCAGGAACGCACAAGAGAUCUAUAUAUAGUAUGAAACAAGUGACCUGCGCCAUCUUGGUAGGCAAACGAAGUGCAAAGCAUAGCGGACCCAUGGCUUCGACACCAACACAAAGAAAGUACAUUGACACUCUUAACCAAUGUGCAGAAAAAUAUAUCAACAAAAUGGCUGCUGGUGGGAUCGACCCGUUUGAGACAGAGAAUGGAAACAAGUCACAUGAUGUGGACAAGCUGCCUUUGAUCUCCUACUCUGACAUAGUUCACUACUUAGAGAACACAAAGAGUGCCACACCAUGGAGGAGCUUGAAAUCUAUACAAUCAAUGUUUUAACGGCUUUGUAAAGGAAGCAAGAACUCUUCAAGGUUCUGGUUCUGGUGGACCAAAGAUUAUGAAGAGCCGUUGUGGAAGUCGCAGAGAGCCACUUGCGGCUCCAGAGCCACAGGUUGCAGACCCCUGGAUUAGGCGACUGUGUCAGCUGUGCUCAGGGUUCUGGCCCAAGCAUACCAGCGGGCUGCUUCACCCAUCCCCGGCACCAAGCAGCUGCCGCCCGGCCCUCCUCUCAUAUCACUGAGGGUCGCCUUACCCAGGGAUGAGGGGACAGCUGGCUGGAUGGGUGCAGCUGUGGACCUGCUUGGCGACCUCCAGCUCCUGCGUUUUCUCCCGCAGCAUCUCGUUUUCCCACUCCAGCUGGGAGUUUUUCUUCUGCACCGC